This is a long non-coding RNA of Oncorhynchus gorbuscha (pink salmon), 419 nucleotides long. RefSeq lists it as uncharacterized. Lineage: Eukaryota; Metazoa; Chordata; Actinopteri; Salmoniformes; Salmonidae. The transcript is spliced from 3 exons. The record is from RefSeq and is a predicted model, not a curated record.
GUUAGAGGUUCUCCACCAGAACAACACCAGUGAGUGCUCUGCGGACACCAAGGUCAACAACACCCAUCUCAGUUCUCCAAUGAGGACGGCGGUGCCAAAGGAACACACUACAAGGUCCCGUAAUGGGUUUUGAGGAGGAGAUUGGGACAGUGCCCGAUGGGCACCAUCAAUGCCCAGGUUGUGCUCCCUCUCGCCCGUACAAAGCCGGCCAGAUGGACGGUUGUCAUGGAAACACGGGUCGACUGGCACAGCUCAGUUUGGGUUCAAGCUGGGAUAUAGAUGAGGAGUUUUGACCUUGCCAUAAGAGGGACCCUUGGCUCGGUACUGGCAACUCCCCCACACCUCAUCUCUUCCCUGUCAUGGCCAGACACACCCUGACCAAUGGCUCCUCUCCUUGUCUCCCACGGUCCCCGACUUCU